RNAcentral lists this ribosomal RNA (1373 nucleotides) under uncultured marine bacterium. RNAcentral describes it as "16S ribosomal RNA". It matches the Rfam family "Bacterial small subunit ribosomal RNA", at positions 30 to 1393 of the family's 1533-position model. The record is from RNAcentral.
UGAACGCUGGCGGUAUGCUUAACACAUGCAAGUCGAACGGAAACGAUACUAGCUUGCUAGUAGGCGUCGAGUGGCGGACGGGUGAGUAACGCGUAGGAAUCUACCUGAUAGUGGGGGAUAGCCCGAAGAAAUUCGGAUUAAUACCGCAUAAUCUAUUCGUAGUAAAGUGGGGGACUUUCGAGCCUCACGCUAUCAGAUGAGCCUGCGUAAGAUUAGCUAGUUGGUAGGGUAAAAGCCUACCAAGGCUACGAUCUUUAGCUGGUCUGAGAGGAUGAUCAGCCACAUCGGGACUGAGACACGGCCCGAACUCCUACGGGAGGCAGCAGUGGGGAAUAUUGGACAAUGGGGGCAACCCUGAUCCAGCAAUACCGCGUGUGUGAAGAAGGCCUGAGGGUUGUAAAGCACUUUCAAUUGUGAAGAAAAGCUAGUGGUUAAUAGCCAUUAGCCUUGACGUUAACUUUAGAAGAAGCACCGGCUAACUCCGUGCCAGCAGCCGCGGUAAUACGGAGGGUGCAAGCGUUAAUCGGAAUUACUGGGCGUAAAGCGUGCGUAGGCGGUUUAUUAAGUCAGAUGUGAAAGCCCCGGGCUUAACCUGGGAACUGCAUUUGAAACUGGUCAACUAGAGUAUGGUAGAGGAAAGUGGAAUUUCUGGUGUAGCGGUGAAAUGCGUAGAUAUCAGAAAGGAACAUCAAUGGCGAAGGCAACUUUCUGGACCAAUACUGACGCUGAGGUACGAAAGCGUGGGUAGCAAACAGGAUUAGAUACCCUGGUAGUCCACGCCGUAAACGAUGAUAACUAGCCGUUGGGGGGAUUUACCCCUUAGUGGCGAAGCUAACGCGUUAAGUUAUCCGCCUGGGGAGUACGGCCGCAAGGUUAAAACUCAAAGGAAUUGACGGGGACCCGCACAAGCGGUGGAGCAUGUGGUUUAAUUCGAUGCAACGCGAAGAACCUUACCUGGUCUUGACAUCCUGAGAACUUUCUAGAAAUAGAUUGGUGCCUUCGGGAACUCAGUGACAGGUGCUGCAUGGCUGUCGUCAGCUCGUGUCGUGAGAUGUUGGGUUAAGUCCCGUAACGAGCGCAACCCCUAUCCUUAUUUGCCAGCACAUCAUGGUGGGAACCAUAAGGAGACUGCCGGUGAUAAACCGGAGGAAGGCGGGGACGACGUCAAGUCAUCAUGGCCCUUAUGACCAGGGCUACACACGUGCUACAAUGGAGCGUACAGAGGGUUGCUAAGCCGCGAGGUGGAGCCAAUCCCAGAAAACGUUUCGUAGUCCGGAUCGAAGUCUGCAACUCGACUUCGUGAAGUCGGAAUCGCUAGUAAUCGCGAAUCAGCAUGUCGCGGUGAAUACGUUCCCGGGCCUUGUACACACCGC